CCUUCGAUAGCUCAGCUGGUAGAGCGGAGGACUGUAGCAGAGAAGUUUGUGGACAUCCUUAGGUCGCUGGUUCGAUUCCGGCUCGAAGGA
This 90-nucleotide transfer RNA is filed under the name Macaca mulatta (Rhesus monkey). It matches the Rfam family "tRNA". From Rfam's summary of the family: Transfer RNA (tRNA) molecules are approximately 80 nucleotides in length. Their secondary structure includes four short double-helical elements and three loops (D, anti-codon, and T loops). Further hydrogen bonds mediate the characteristic L-shaped molecular structure. tRNAs have two regions of fundamental functional importance: the anti-codon, which is responsible for specific mRNA codon recognition, and the 3' end, to which the tRNAs corresponding amino acid is attached (by aminoacyl-tRNA synthetases). tRNAs cope with the degeneracy of the genetic code in two manners: having more than one tRNA (with a specific anti-codon) for a particular amino acid; and 'wobble' base-pairing, i.e. permitting non-standard base-pairing at the 3rd anti-codon position. The record is from Rfam by way of RNAcentral. Lineage: Eukaryota; Metazoa; Chordata; Mammalia; Primates; Cercopithecidae.